RNAcentral lists this ribosomal RNA (119 nucleotides) under Triticum aestivum (bread wheat). The record is from RNAcentral. Lineage: Eukaryota; Viridiplantae; Streptophyta; Magnoliopsida; Poales; Poaceae.
GGAUGCGAUCAUACCAGCACUAAAGCACCGGAUCCCUUCAGAACUCCGAAGUUAAGCGUGCUUGGGCGAGAGUAGUAUUAGGAUGGGUGACCUCCUGGGAAGUCCUCGUGUUGCAUUCC